CAGGCCCUACGGGGCGCAGCAGGCGCGAAAACUUUACAAUGCGGGAAACCGUGAUAAGGGGACACCGAGUGCCAGCAUCAUAUGCUGGCUGUCCAGAUGUGUAAAAUACAUCUGUUAGCAAGGGCCGGGCAAGACCGGUGCCAGCCGCCGCGGUAACACCGGCGGCCCGAGUGGUGAUCGUGAUUAUUGGGUCUAAAGGGUCCGUAGCCGGUUUGGUCAGUCCUCCGGGAAAUCUGAUGGCUCAACCAUUAGGCUUUCGGGGGAUACUGCCAGGCUUGGAACCGGGAGAGGUAAGAGGUACUACAGGGGUAGGAGUGAAAUCUUGUAAUCCCUGUGAGACCACCUGUGGCGAAGGCGUCUUACCAGAACGGGUUCGACGGUGAGGGACGAAAGCUGGGGGCACGAACCGGAUUAGAUACCCGGGUAGCCCCAGCCGUAAACGAUGCUCGCUAGGUGUCAGGCAUGGCGCGACCGUGUCUGGUGCCGCAGGGAAGCCGUGAAGCGAGCCACCUGGGAAGUACGGCCGCAAGGCUGAAACUUAAAGGAAUUGGCGGGGGAGCACAACAACGGGUGGAGCCUGCGGUUUAAUUGGACUCAACGCCGGACAACUCACCGGGGACGACAGCAAUAUGUAGGCC
RNAcentral lists this ribosomal RNA (638 nucleotides) under uncultured archaeon. RNAcentral's name for it is "bacterial SSU rRNA". It matches the Rfam family "Archaeal small subunit ribosomal RNA", at positions 317 to 955 of the family's 1478-position model. The record is from RNAcentral.